This 492-nucleotide ribosomal RNA is filed under the name uncultured bacterium. RNAcentral's name for it is "partial 16S ribosomal RNA". It matches the Rfam family "Bacterial small subunit ribosomal RNA", at positions 29 to 507 of the family's 1533-position model. The record is from RNAcentral.
AGUGAACGCUGGCGGUAGGCCUAACACAUGCAAGUCGAACGGCAGCACAGUAAGAGCUUGCUCUUACGGGUGGCGGGUGGCGGACGGGUGAGGAAUACAUCGGAAUCUACUUUUUCGUGGGGGAUAACGUAGGGAAACUUACGCUAAUACCGCAUACGACCUACGGGUGAAAGCAGGGGAUCUUCGGACCUUGCGCGAUUGAAUGAGCCGAUGUCGGAUUAGCUAGUUGGCGGGGUAAAGGCCCACCAAGGCGACGAUCCGUAUCUGGUCUGAGAGGAUGAUCAGCCACACUGGAACUGAGACACGGUCCAGACUCCUACGGGAGGCAGCAGUGGGGAAUAUUGGACAAUGGGCGCAAGCCUGAUCCAGCCAUACCGCGUGGGUGAAGAAGGCCUUCGGGUUGUAAAGCCCUUUUGUUGGGAAAGAAAAGCAGCAGGUUAAUACCCCGCUGUUCUGACGGUACCCAAAGAAUAAGCACCGGCUAACUUCGUG